GGAGGCCUUAGCUUAAGUAAAGUGUCUGAGUUGCAAUCAGGAGAUGUAUUUUGUAGUUUACAGGUCUUCAGAAAUU
This 76-nucleotide transfer RNA is filed under the name Altiphylax levitoni (Leviton's gecko). RNAcentral describes it as "tRNA-Ala". The stretch from base 2 to 69 matches the Rfam family "tRNA". Rfam says of the family: Transfer RNA (tRNA) molecules are approximately 80 nucleotides in length. Their secondary structure includes four short double-helical elements and three loops (D, anti-codon, and T loops). Further hydrogen bonds mediate the characteristic L-shaped molecular structure. tRNAs have two regions of fundamental functional importance: the anti-codon, which is responsible for specific mRNA codon recognition, and the 3' end, to which the tRNAs corresponding amino acid is attached (by aminoacyl-tRNA synthetases). tRNAs cope with the degeneracy of the genetic code in two manners: having more than one tRNA (with a specific anti-codon) for a particular amino acid; and 'wobble' base-pairing, i.e. permitting non-standard base-pairing at the 3rd anti-codon position. The record is from RNAcentral. Lineage: Eukaryota; Metazoa; Chordata; Lepidosauria; Squamata; Gekkonidae.